GGGGCUAUGGCCCAAUGGAUAAGGCGUCUGACUACGAAUCAGGAGAUUCCAGGUUCGACCCCUGGUAGCCUCA
Molecule: transfer RNA, 73 nt
Organism: Mucor circinelloides
Lineage: Eukaryota; Fungi; Mucoromycota; Mucoromycetes; Mucorales; Mucoraceae
Rfam family: tRNA
About the family: Transfer RNA (tRNA) molecules are approximately 80 nucleotides in length.
Source: Rfam